GCCUGGGUGGCUCAGCCGGUUAAGCGUCCGACUUCGGCUCAGGUCUUGAUCUCACGGUUCGUGGGUUCGAGCCCCGCCUCGGGCU
This 85-nucleotide transfer RNA is filed under the name Felis catus (domestic cat). It matches the Rfam family "tRNA". From Rfam's summary of the family: Transfer RNA (tRNA) molecules are approximately 80 nucleotides in length. Lineage: Eukaryota; Metazoa; Chordata; Mammalia; Carnivora; Felidae. The record is from Rfam by way of RNAcentral.